RNAcentral lists this ribosomal RNA (465 nucleotides) under Vreelandella stevensii. Its description in RNAcentral is "partial 16S ribosomal RNA". It matches the Rfam family "Bacterial small subunit ribosomal RNA", at positions 338 to 795 of the family's 1533-position model. The record is from RNAcentral. Lineage: Bacteria; Pseudomonadati; Pseudomonadota; Gammaproteobacteria; Oceanospirillales; Halomonadaceae.
CCUACGGGGGGCUGCAGUGGGGAAUAUUGGACAAUGGGGGGAACCCUGAUCCAGCCAUGCCGCGUGUGUGAAGAAGGCCCUCGGGUUGUAAAGCACUUUCAGUGAGGAAGAACGCCUGGUGGUUAAUACCCAUCAGGAAAGACAUCACUCACAGAAGAAGCACCGGCUAACUCCGUGCCAGCCGCCGCGGUAAUACGGAGGGUGCGAGCGUUAAUCGGAAUUACUGGGCGUAAAGCGCGCGUAGGUGGCUUGAUAAGCCGGUUGUGAAAGCCCCGGGCUCAACCUGGGAACGGCAUCCGGAACUGUCAAGCUAGAGUGAAGGAGAGGAAGAUAGAAUUCCCGGUGUAGCGGUGAAAUGCGUAGAGAUCGGGAGGAAUACCAGUGGCGAAGGCGGCCUUCUGGACUGACACUGACACUGAGGUGCGAAAGCGUGGGUAGCAAACAGGAUUAGAUACCCUGGUAGUC